RNAcentral lists this ribosomal RNA (540 nucleotides) under uncultured bacterium. RNAcentral's name for it is "bacterial SSU rRNA". It matches the Rfam family "Bacterial small subunit ribosomal RNA", at positions 969 to 1509 of the family's 1533-position model. The record is from RNAcentral.
CCUUACCAGGUCUUGACAUCCCUUGCCAAUCCUAGAAAUAGGACGUUCCCUUCGGGGACAAGGUGACAGGUGGUGCAUGGUUGUCGUCAGCUCGUGUCGUGAGAUGUUGGGUUAAGUCCCGCAACGAGCGCAACCCUUAUUAUUAGUUGCCAGCAUUCAGUUGGGCACUCUAGUGAGACUGCCGGUGACAAACCGGAGGAAGGUGGGGAUGACGUCAAAUCAUCAUGCCCCUUAUGACCUGGGCUACACACGUGCUACAAUGGCAUAUACAACGAGUCGCCAACCCGCGAGGGUGCGCUAAUCUCUUAAAGUAUGUCUCAGUUCGGAUUGUAGGCUGCAACUCGCCUACAUGAAGUCGGAAUCGCUAGUAAUCGCGGAUCAGCACGCCGCGGUGAAUACGUUCCCGGGUCUUGUACACACCGCCCGUCACACCAUGAGAGUUUGUAACACCCAAAGACGGUGGGGUAACCUUUUAGGAGCCAGCCGUCUAAGGUGGGACAGAUGAUUAGGGUGAAGUCGUAACAAGGUAGGCGUAGACGU